UAUAAUGUUAUUGUUUUCUCAGUAUCACUUUAACUAGGUUUGCUAAUACUUCACCGAAUAUUUAUUGAAAUAUAUAAAAUUUCACUUUCAACGCAUAUCAAUUCUAAAAUGUUUUGUUCAUUCUAAUAAGUAGAUAUUUUUACUAUUUUUAAAAAUCAAGCGAUAAGCAGAAAUUUUAGCUGUGAAGAAAAAGUGAUCUCGAGGUCGCAAGUAUACAGGCGCAUUGGUCCAGAU
This 234-nucleotide unclassified non-coding RNA is filed under the name Melitaea cinxia (Glanville fritillary). RNAcentral describes it as "misc RNA ENSMCXG00005013924.1". The record is from RNAcentral. Lineage: Eukaryota; Metazoa; Arthropoda; Insecta; Lepidoptera; Nymphalidae.